CAGAGCCAGCUGAGAGUCUGUCCAGGGGAGAACCAAAACCAGAGAAGCUUCUUUUCUUCUUUGUUUCAAUCACAUCAUUCUCCAGAGACACAAGUUCAUCAAGAAAUACCUGGUUUUCUGUGAAUCCACGGUGAGGACAAGGUGAACUUUUCAAUGGAGACUCUAAAUUUUGCAUGAAAACAUUUUGAAAACUAUAAGAUAAUAUGGAAAGAUUAACUACAUGGUAUAAAAAUGAUUAUUUCUGAGCUGAAGGCAAGUGUUUGAUGACAAGUCCUUCCAAGGAAAGUAAAGCUUAUACUCAACCACCACCUAGGGAAUCUGGGGCCGUUCAUAGAGACAAUCAGCAAAGCUUAUGUUCAACAAUCAAGAGGAUACAUAACAGUUUGACAUGAUACAGAUAAUCUUGAUAUUUCAAUGAGUGACAUUUGAACAGGGUGUUAAGUUUGUGUCUAGUUUUCAUUGAUGAGAGAAGCAACCAGAUGCUUGAGACACUUUCCUGCUAGAAAGCAGAGACUUGGACGCUGGAGUCUCUUCUUUAUUGGUGCUGCAAUUCCACUGCCUAUGGUGCAAUCGGCUCCACAAACAAGCGAACUAAGUGUGGCUUUGGCACUUAUAACUUCAGAAGUGCGGAUUAGUUUUGGAUCCUCAUAAAGUCAAAUACUAGA
This is a non-coding RNA of Delphinapterus leucas (beluga whale), 665 nucleotides long. The record is from RefSeq and is a predicted model, not a curated record. Lineage: Eukaryota; Metazoa; Chordata; Mammalia; Artiodactyla; Monodontidae.